CUGCCACCUGUAACCACCCAGAGAGAGAGAGAGAGAGAGACAGACAGACAGAGAGACAGGGAGGGGGUAGAGAAGUCACUGGAUCAAUGGUUGCCAAACAGACUGGGAAGAAUGUCCUUGUUGGGAGGGAGAAUCUCAGGAUUUCUACAAUAAACCUGGUCUAUCACAUUUAGGGUAGAAGAAUGUCCUCUCCUUAUUCACAGCAUACCUGCUGAGAGUCUUCAAGAGUUUGUGUUUGGAGAUGGGAGUGUGGACCCAUAGUAGAAGGCUUGUCUAGCAUGCAUGAAGCCCAUUCCCAGCAAAACACAUACAAACAUAUAGCCAUUCAUAUUCUGUCUGUCUCUCUCUCUGUUUCUCUCUCUCUCCCUCCCUCCUAGUCUUGUGGAGCUGGAACAGACUUCAAAGAGAGAAAAAGGGGCCUAGAGAAGGGGGCCAUUUGUUCAGUGUCACACAGCCCAUUGCUGAUCAGUUUCCUGAUUCUUAGACCUUUCUCCCAUAGCAUACAAUGUACCUAUUUACUACUGAGCUGGAAAGGAAGAAGGAUGGCUUAAUCACAGUCCUGCUUUCAAGGAACUUGGAGUCUGAAGAAGAGAAGCAGAGACACACCGAAAAUUACUGCAGGGAGGCACAUGGGUGAGGAGUUUCUUGGUGGCUUAGGGUGCUGAGAAGAUCAGGCAGGGUACCACAUGCAGCACCAUCUACAGAAUGUCAGGAGUGAUCCAGGCCACAGAAGACUGGUCAAGGAAAGGAUUUUGCAUGGCAGAGAUGUGGCAUAUGUAAAGCCACAGAGAUGAGCUCCAGCCCAGCAGUUAUCCAAGCUAGCCUCAACUUCAAAACCCUCCAGUCUCAGCCUUCUGUAUUUUAAAAAAAGAUACCUCUGGGGGCAGUAUGGACAACUGACUGACAAGGCAGGAGUGCAAGAAGCAAACAGGAGAGCGCAGCGAGAAGGUGAGUGCAGUAGGAUCCAAGAUGAAGGUAGUUAGAGAAGGAUAUGAGGAGGAGUGUGCUGCACUGGAAGGAGUGCUAGGAGGGUGACUGCACUGGAAGGAGUGCUAGGAGGGUGUGGAGAAUGCCUGCAUUCUGGACUUAAUGGCUGAGGUAAUGGUGGGAACUGGUGAGUCAGGGCAAAGGAAUGGCUGGUGUUCCAGGGAGGGGAGGCUAACCUUGUGGAUAAGAAUUGUGCCACACAGGCCACGCCGGCCUGCCUUUUUCAGGACAGUGAAGGCG
This is a long non-coding RNA of Meriones unguiculatus (Mongolian gerbil), 1227 nucleotides long. RefSeq lists it as uncharacterized. NCBI's taxonomy places the organism in Eukaryota, Metazoa, Chordata, Mammalia, Rodentia, Muridae. The record is from RefSeq and is a predicted model, not a curated record. The transcript is spliced from 2 exons.